ACAGACGCUGGGAGCGGCCGAGGCGAGUGAUUUCUUCUGACUUGAGCCUGCAGUGUGCUGUGAGAGAUCUACCACUAGAUUACCUCAACUUUGGUCUCCUGGGACCACUCAUUGCUGACAGUCAGAAAGUAAGUGUAUAUUUAAAAUGUUCUUCUUAGCUAUAAAUGGAAAUCUCAGUUUUGUUCAGUAGUUUUCACAAGAGACAGUUCUGUUCAAAUGUUUUAUCAAGAAUAGUAGCAUAAUGAAUGGGAGUUUUGUAUAUAUAAAAGAUACUAAAGCCGCUUUAAAAAAUUUAUGGAAAUGAUAAAUAAAUAGAAAUGAAGUAAAUAAGGUACUGCCUGCUUAUCACCUUUGAAUAUUACUUACAGCAUAAUAAAGUAUAUUUGCAACCACUCAGUGGAGUAGUUUUUAUAUGACAUCUUCAU
Molecule: small RNA, 425 nt
Filed under: Pan troglodytes (chimpanzee)
Lineage: Eukaryota; Metazoa; Chordata; Mammalia; Primates; Hominidae
Description: retained intron
Source: RNAcentral